UACGAAGGGGGCGAGCGUUGUUCGGAUUUACUGGGCGUAAAGGGCGCGCAGGCGGCUUUGUUUGUCAGGCGUGAAAGCCCCGGGCUUAACCUGGGAACUGCGUUUGAUACGGCAGGGCUAGAGUUCGGGAGAGGAGAGUGGAAUUCCCAGUGUAGAGGUGAAAUUCGCAGAUAUCAGGAAGAACACCCGUGGCGAAGGCGGCUCUCUGGGACGGUACUGACGCUGAGACGCGAAAGCGUGGGGAGCGAACAGG
RNAcentral lists this ribosomal RNA (253 nucleotides) under uncultured bacterium. RNAcentral's name for it is "partial 16S ribosomal RNA". It matches the Rfam family "Bacterial small subunit ribosomal RNA", at positions 524 to 776 of the family's 1533-position model. The record is from RNAcentral.